RNAcentral lists this transfer RNA (72 nucleotides) under Ictidomys tridecemlineatus (thirteen-lined ground squirrel). RNAcentral describes it as "Spermophilus tridecemlineatus (thirteen-lined ground squirrel) tRNA". It matches the Rfam family "tRNA". From Rfam's summary of the family: Transfer RNA (tRNA) molecules are approximately 80 nucleotides in length. Their secondary structure includes four short double-helical elements and three loops (D, anti-codon, and T loops). Further hydrogen bonds mediate the characteristic L-shaped molecular structure. tRNAs have two regions of fundamental functional importance: the anti-codon, which is responsible for specific mRNA codon recognition, and the 3' end, to which the tRNAs corresponding amino acid is attached (by aminoacyl-tRNA synthetases). tRNAs cope with the degeneracy of the genetic code in two manners: having more than one tRNA (with a specific anti-codon) for a particular amino acid; and 'wobble' base-pairing, i.e. permitting non-standard base-pairing at the 3rd anti-codon position. Lineage: Eukaryota; Metazoa; Chordata; Mammalia; Rodentia; Sciuridae. The record is from Rfam by way of RNAcentral.
UGGGUUGUAGCUUACUGGUAGAGCACUUGCCUCGCACAUGUGAGACACUGAGUUCAAUUCUUAGCACUCCAU